GAGGGUAUAGCUCAGUGGUAGAGUGAGUGCCUAGCAUGCACAAGGUCCUGGGUUCAAUCCCCAGCACCAUCA
Transfer RNA from Camelus ferus (Wild Bactrian camel), 72 nucleotides. It matches the Rfam family "tRNA". From Rfam's summary of the family: Transfer RNA (tRNA) molecules are approximately 80 nucleotides in length. Their secondary structure includes four short double-helical elements and three loops (D, anti-codon, and T loops). The record is from Rfam. Lineage: Eukaryota; Metazoa; Chordata; Mammalia; Artiodactyla; Camelidae.